UUAUUGCUCAUUAUUUUCCUUAUUUUAUUGCUCUUGUCAUAAUCAAACUCUCAUUCAGGCAUCGGAGGUGGCACAACCGCCACACCCCCUAUCUCACGGUCUGUCACUACUGAUCCUUUUUUGUUCUUAGCAGGCUUUGAAUCAAGUUGCUAUCAGGAUUGAUAACUGUCUCAACAUUACCCAUAAGAUAUAAAGCUCCCUUUAGCAUACAAAUUGAUUAAAUUGGUUAAUAAUGAGGGCAUUUUGUGCGUUGGGAUAGAGCCAAGUGCUCUUUUUAUGUUUUCUACUCUUAAUUUGUCAACCAAAUCUAUGUUGGGGUUCAGCAAAGCAAUAGCAGCGAUGGGGUUUAGCAGCCAGUGAGUGGUGGGCAGCGGGGUUCAGCGGAUUCUGGCUGUGGGGUGGGCCGCGUGGACGUUGCUUUCUAGCUGAGCGGCAGCGGCAGUAGGUUCAGCUAUGGCAGAUCUAAAAGGGAAUCAUCUGAGAAGAAGAGAAAAAGAGAGAAAGAAAGGUGUGUGAUGAGUUGAAAUUUUAAUUUUUAGUGGAUUUGGAUGUUAUCUAGUGUUUUUGUUUUAUUUUCUUAAGGUGAACUAGCUGAGGUGCCACAAACCUCAUUGAACGACUCAACCCGCUCACAGUAUAAUCCAAUAGCUCAACCGCCACCUUUCAAAUAUUAAACAAAACAUUUCAGCCAUUCAUUCUAUCCUUUAUAAACACAUUUUUAUCCCAAACCCUAGGGUUUCUCAAAUCCGUGAAGACAAAGCUUUAAGGUUUUUCACUCUUACUCUGAGCAGCGGAUCUCUUGGACCCUCACUUCCCUUCCAGUCAAGUUGAUGUUUCUAGGAAUCGGAAGGCUGUUGUCAUUCAUGUUCCCUACAGGUUGAGAAAAGGCUUCCGCAAGAUUCAUGUUAGGCUUGUGAGAGAGCUUGAGAAGAAGUUCAGUGGGAACUAGGAAGGUAAUCAAAGACUGGUUUAUUUUGGUUCUUACAAUUUCUUUCUGGCCUUUUGGUCCAAAGUACAUGCAAUUGUGGAAGAAACUUCAAUUCAUAAUGCUUUUCAUCUGACAGUGUUUGAGAACUUUUUUGUCAUUUUUUCUUGUACUCCCCUUGUAAUUAAUUUAUCUUAUCUGCCCUUUCUUCAA
Molecule: long non-coding RNA, 1138 nt
Organism: Corylus avellana
Lineage: Eukaryota; Viridiplantae; Streptophyta; Magnoliopsida; Fagales; Betulaceae
Source: RefSeq, a predicted model, not a curated record